This is a non-coding RNA of Phrynosoma platyrhinos (Desert horned lizard), 71 nucleotides long. NCBI's taxonomy places the organism in Eukaryota, Metazoa, Chordata, Lepidosauria, Squamata, Phrynosomatidae. The record is from the annotation of a GenBank genome assembly.
GCCAGCAUGGUGUAGUGGUUUGAGCUUUGGACUACAAUUCUGGAGGCCAGGGUUUGAUUCCCUUCUCGGCC